Molecule: long non-coding RNA, 1888 nt
Filed under: Fukomys damarensis (Damara mole-rat)
Lineage: Eukaryota; Metazoa; Chordata; Mammalia; Rodentia; Bathyergidae
Description: lncRNA (ENSFDAG00000028188.1)
Source: RNAcentral
GAGUUCCUGUGGCCCACAGAGGCUAUGGCAAAUCUGCAGAUCUCUGGAGCUCAAAACAGGUGCACACUGCCUAAGGUCAGCCUUCCCUUUAGUCAGCCACCCCCUCUGAUGUGAUGUAUUUGAGAAAGAGGGGUUUUCUGCUAAGCAGAGGCCUCACUGUUUUGCCUGUCCCUGAACUGGCUGCUCCACACCCCUCAGGGCAAAACUGCUGCAGCUGCAGCAAGCCCUGCAAGAAGUAAGAGGGACCAAAGGCUUCUACUUCCCAGCUCAGCCCUGACUGACCUGACUCUCCUUAUCUCCAACAUCAAAGCUGUCUGGCAUUCAAGUUUUCCUCAUCCCCUGGAAGCCAUGGAGAGAAAAAUCCAUCCCUAACCAAGGACCCACCCACCCAUGACGGCUUCCUGCAUUUCCCGUAUACUUCUCAGGUCUGAAUUAAGCAGCCUGGAAUAACUGCCAGGUGGGCUCUGGCCCCCACCCACAGACACGUGCCCUUCCAAGGCCUCAUGGGCAGUAGGAGUUGUGAAUAUACCCUUCAGUCUUUGAAAAAUCCAAAACAUUUGUGGAGCCACAUAUCUCACAAGGACAAAUAUUCAUUCUCAAAGGAAGACACAGUCUUCGCACCCACAGGGAAGAGCUGAAUUAUUUUCCUAUCUGCCCUGUAAUCUGCUCACUGGGAAGUUAGUAGCUGACAGCAUCUGUAGAACCUUCAAACAGUGCCCACUCACAGGACUACCAGACAUAGGAGGAGCAUUUACUACUGGACUAAGACCCAGAAGAAGCUUUGAAAUUCCCUCCGACGGACAUCCACACCCUUCUUAUGCAGGGCCUCCUCUGUGAAGCUGGUUUCCUGCAAGUGAUGGUUCACUCUUUGCGUACCUUCGCCCUCCCGGCUUUCAGCGGAGGCGUUUCCACCUAUGAGAGAGUCGUCGGUGUUAACCUCUGUUCUACUGACCAUCUUGCCCCCACCUCGUCAGCCCGUCGGCGGAGAACAUCUCAUGGCGGCUGUUGAGGGCCCAAAAGAGCUGGCAGAAUCCAUAGACUUCAGUUUCUCUGAAGAUGAUGAUGCCCACAGACGGUGUCUUCAGGAAGCUCUUAAACGAAGAUGAUAAGAAUCCAGAACCAAAGCAUCCGAGACUCGGUGUCUAGUUAUUCCAAGUGUCUUACCCCACAAACAACAGUGUAUUUGCUCCAAAGAAACAAGAUACUAAGAAUAAUAAGGAGGAAUAUGCUAAAAUUGUAUCCAAGAGAAUGAAAGAAGUCAAGAAAAAUGCCAGGAGCAGAUUACCAAGAGAAACUGGCUAUUAUAGUUUAUAUGUAGAUGUCCCUCCCCAAAGUCUCAUGCCCUCAUAGGUAGGACUUUGGGGAGGUGAUUGUAUUGUGGGGAACUACACUUACCAGCAAAUCAGUCUGCCAAUGAGUUUAUAGUAAAUGUGAGGCUGGGAGGUGGAGCCCGGUCAGAGAAGGUGGGUCACUGAGGGUGUGGCCUCGAAGGAUCUAUUGCCUUCCCCCACUCAGUCUCUUCACUCUCUCUGCUCCCCCCACCCCACGCUAUGAGCAGCUCUCCUUUGUCAUGCCUGUCUGCCAUGCCACCCUGCCUUAGAGCUAACUGACUAUUACCUGAAACUUCUUCUCCUUUAAGUUGCAAGUGUCAGGUAUGAUAGAUCAGCAAGGAGGAACGUGACUAAAACAGCUGUCCUUUCCGAGAGAGAUUUUACAUCUGAGUUCCCAAAAAAUUAAGAAUCUUUAAGGGUAACAACAACAACAACAUAAGGUCACACCUAAAAAAAAAAAAAAAAAAAAAAAAAACUACUAUGAGAUAUGACUAUGAGGUACCCACACCAAUAUAGCUAAAUUUAAAAGUCUAAUAAGAAAAGCAAUAGAAACUCUC